GACGAACGCUGGCGGCGUGCUUAACACAUGCAAGUCGAACGGAAAGGCCCUGCUUUUGUGGGGUGCUCGAGUGGCGAACGGGUGAGUAACACGUGAGUAACCUGCCCUUGACUUUGGGAUAACUUCAGGAAACUGGGGCUAAUACCGGAUAGGAGCUCCUGCUGCAUGGUGGGGGUUGGAAAGUUUCGGCGGUUGGGGAUGGACUCGCGGCUUAUCAGCUUGUUGGUGGGGUAGUGGCUUACCAAGGCUUUGACGGGUAGCCGGCCUGAGAGGGUGACCGGCCACAUUGGGACUGAGAUACGGCCCAGACUCCUACGGGAGGCAGCAGUGGGGAAUAUUGCACAAUGGGCGGAAGCCUGAUGCAGCAACGCCGCGUGCGGGGUGACGGCCUUCGGGUUGUAAACCGCUUUCGCCUGUGACGAAGCGUGAGGGACGGUAAUGGGUAAAGAAGCACCGGCUAACUACGU
Molecule: ribosomal RNA, 467 nt
Filed under: uncultured bacterium
Lineage: Bacteria
Description: partial 16S ribosomal RNA
Rfam family: Bacterial small subunit ribosomal RNA
Source: RNAcentral